UUUUAGAUUCGAAGCGGUUAGUGGCGGACUGGUGAGUAACACGUAAGCAACCUGCCUAUCAGAGGGGAACAACAGUUAGAAAUGACUGCUAAUACCGCAUAUGCCUUAGAAUCACAUGGUUCAAAGGGAAAGGAGCAAUCCGCUGAUAGAUGGGCUUGCGUCUGAUUAGAUAGUUGGUGAGGUAACGGCCCACCAAGUCGACGAUCAGUAGCCGGACUGAGAGGUUGAACGGCCACAUUGGGACUGAGAUACGGCCCAGACUCC
RNAcentral lists this ribosomal RNA (264 nucleotides) under uncultured Oscillospiraceae bacterium. RNAcentral describes it as "partial 16S ribosomal RNA". It matches the Rfam family "Bacterial small subunit ribosomal RNA", at positions 74 to 339 of the family's 1533-position model. The record is from RNAcentral. Lineage: Bacteria; Bacillati; Bacillota; Clostridia; Eubacteriales; Oscillospiraceae.